This 355-nucleotide transfer-messenger RNA is filed under the name Gottschalkia acidurici. Its description in RNAcentral is "Standard tmRNA". It matches the Rfam family "transfer-messenger RNA". Rfam says of the family: Bacterial tmRNA, also known as 10Sa RNA or SsrA, is named for its dual tRNA and mRNA-like properties. Its role is to liberate the mRNA from a stalled ribosome. The record is from RNAcentral. Lineage: Bacteria; Bacillati; Bacillota; Tissierellia; Tissierellales; Gottschalkiaceae. RNAcentral also lists the same sequence under 1 other name.
GGGGGCGAAAAUGGUUUCGACGGGGGUGUGGAGCUAAGAGUAGCGGGUCGUUGUCGCCAAACAACGUAAAAAGUGGCAACUAAAUAUAAACGCAAACGAUAAUUACGCAUUAGCUGCCUAAUUUAAGGCGCUCACUUACCCUAGUGGUCCUGCCCACUAGAAGUAAGUGUCAACUUAUAGCAGGGAACUACUAUAGGGGACUUCCCGACCUACAGUAGACUAAUUGGGAAUAGCUGAUUAGGGAGCCUUCUGUUGGGCGUUCUAUGAGGCGAAAUUUUAAAUACGGCAGAUACGCUCGUAGAGGCUCUUAGUAAAGUGCUUUCGGACGUGGGUUCGACUCCCACCGCCUCCACCA